This 429-nucleotide ribosomal RNA is filed under the name Triticum aestivum (bread wheat). Its description in RNAcentral is "partial small subunit ribosomal RNA". Lineage: Eukaryota; Viridiplantae; Streptophyta; Magnoliopsida; Poales; Poaceae. The record is from RNAcentral.
GGCGGCAUAGAGAUGAUCGACAUCGAAAAUCCUGAUCAUGUCGAGGGUGACGACAGAGACGAGAUCGAAGCACAACCCGCUCGCCCUCGGUAUCGGGCAUGGAUAGAUGCCAUAAAUAGGAUCAUGAUGCCUCCCGACGACAUCCCUAACCCGGAUGGAAUAGUUGCAGCAGCAGAGCCCGAGCAAUGUAGCAGGCAUGCCUGCUUGUGCUAUGCGGUCAUCUGUGAGCUCGUUAUCGCCACCGUUUUCAUCACCCUGAUGAUGCUUAGUUUACGGUUUCACCCGACAACCUCUGGCGGUCGAGCGUUGCAUGUCAUAGCACAUGUCAUGGAUAUGCUAGGCUUGUUCAUUAUGGUACUUGGGUUCAUCCUUAUCCUUCAUUUUGUACUCGAGGCAGCUAUUGGAAACCCCGAGGGGUAUAAAAUGAUA